CAUAAGCGUGUCUCAGAUUUCAGAUAGAAUGUAUAGAUCAAAUUUUACACCUAAUUAAACAUUAUCUUCUUUUAUGUGGUUAGGAUGUUUACACUAAUUAGAGAUUUAUGAGAGAAUGGAAUACCAUAGGAACAAUUUGAGACACCCUUUUGAAGCCGAUGAUGUGUUGAUUAAGAUUCCGUUAAAUUUUUCUGUAUAGUUAAAGAGAUGAUAGAGCUAAAUUCAUUCAAGUGAACUGACCAAGAUUUUGCC
Molecule: long non-coding RNA, 252 nt
Filed under: Mytilus galloprovincialis (Mediterranean mussel)
Lineage: Eukaryota; Metazoa; Mollusca; Bivalvia; Mytilida; Mytilidae
Source: RNAcentral